GCGGGUUUGCGGGUUUUCAGGCCUUGAAUGGCAUUCAAGAGGUCAGCGGUUCGAUUCCGCUUAUCUCCA
Molecule: transfer RNA, 69 nt
Filed under: Caudoviricetes sp.
Lineage: Duplodnaviria; Heunggongvirae; Uroviricota; Caudoviricetes
Description: tRNA-Ala
Source: RNAcentral